Molecule: ribosomal RNA, 276 nt
Filed under: uncultured bacterium
Lineage: Bacteria
Description: partial 16S ribosomal RNA
Rfam family: Bacterial small subunit ribosomal RNA
Source: RNAcentral
ACUCCUACGGGAGGCAGCAGUGGGGAAUAUUGGACAAUGGGCGAAAGCCUGAUCCAGCAAUGCCGCGUGUGUGAAGAAGGCCUUAGGGUUGUAAAGCACUUUCAGCAGGGAAGAAAAGCUUGGGCUAAUACCCGGCCGUGCAUCGGUACCUGCAGAAGAAGCACCGGCUAACUCCGUGCCAGCAGCCGCGGUAAUACGGAGGGUGCAAGCGUUAAUCGGAAUUACUGGGCGUAAAGCGCGCGUAGGUGGUUCGGUAAGUCGGGUGUGAAAGCCCGG